RNAcentral lists this transfer RNA (86 nucleotides) under Virgisporangium ochraceum. RNAcentral describes it as "tRNA-Pro". Lineage: Bacteria; Bacillati; Actinomycetota; Actinomycetes; Micromonosporales; Micromonosporaceae. The record is from RNAcentral.
CCGGCGGCCGGUUCGGCGCCGUCGGGGUCGGCCCCGUUCGGACCGGUGCCGUUCGGACCUGUGCCGUUCGGACCGGUGCCGUCGGG